This is a long non-coding RNA of Chelonia mydas (Green sea turtle), 141 nucleotides long. RefSeq lists it as uncharacterized. The transcript is spliced from 4 exons. NCBI's taxonomy places the organism in Eukaryota, Metazoa, Chordata, Testudines, Cheloniidae. The record is from RefSeq and is a predicted model, not a curated record.
CAGAAUGCCAGGAGCUGCGUGAGAAGCUUGAAUGCCAGGAGCUGAGCAAGAAAAUUGAGACCAAUGAAAAGAGUCUGAAAUCAGUGAAGCGAAAGGAAUCUAAGAAGAAACCCUCUAAAGACGAGGCUGUGUUCAUUCAUG